CGCGCGGGUAGGGCUGGGAGGGUCGCCGCCUCCCCCACGGCCGGGGCGGCCGUGGCCGAAGGCGCAAGGCGGGGCCAGUAACCCGGAGCCAGCGCUACCAGCCGCCCGGAGAGCCCACGGCUACAAUGACCCCCGUCCCGCGGGGCUGGCGGGGCAGGAGGCGCCGCUGGAGAGCGGCGUCUACCGCCGAUACCGGGGGAACCUGGCCAGGCCCGGAAGGGAGCAACCUGGCCCCGGACGCCAGCGUUCGCGGGGGUGCGGGGUGAGGAACCGUGGGGUUUAACUCUCCGGGUGGCUGGGGUGCUGGUUGUCCGGGGGCCGCGCG
RNAcentral lists this signal recognition particle RNA (325 nucleotides) under Thermodiscus sp. RNAcentral describes it as "signal recognition particle sRNA". It matches the Rfam family "Archaeal signal recognition particle RNA". The record is from RNAcentral. Lineage: Archaea; Thermoproteati; Thermoproteota; Thermoprotei; Acidilobales; Acidilobaceae.